RNAcentral lists this ribosomal RNA (550 nucleotides) under Parlatoreopsis sp. ud5035. RNAcentral's name for it is "eukaryotic LSU rRNA". The record is from RNAcentral. Lineage: Eukaryota; Metazoa; Arthropoda; Insecta; Hemiptera; Diaspididae.
AUCUGGGCGGCGGAAUUCAGGAUGGCGGGCGCGUCUUCGCGGCGCGUUCGUCGUUUGAUAUUUCCGUCGCCGACUCACCCGCAGACGUCGCGACCUGUUCGCGGUCGGUCCCUGCUCGGAGGAGCCACGUUCGAGUUCGUUGUGUGCGCGUUUCUGCGCGUUUCACGGCGAAGGCGUGGAUCUCUGGCUGGCCGUCGGACAGUACGUUCAACGGUGUCCGGUGCGGUCGUCUCGUACGCGCUUGCAUCGGUACCGGUCGGCGACGAAUUCUUCGGGCCUCUUUCCGACCCGUCUUGAAACACGGACCAAGGAGUCUAACAUGCGCGCGAGUCGCGGGGUGUCGAGCGUACCACGGUGCGUUCGUUACGUUGCGAAACCCGUACAUGUCGAAGGCGUAAUGAAAGUAAAUGGGGAAGAUGGUGUUCCGAGUACACGUUCCGCGGUCAUCGGUACCGCGGCCGGACACCCGCAUUCCCGGGGCGUCUCAACGGCCCGUCGUAGAUGCGGAUCGCCGUCUCUCGGGGCGGUGGGUCGGUCCGCGACGAACCGA